AGCUCAGUUGGUUAGAGCAUCAGAUUGUGGUUCUGAGGGUCGUGGGUUCGAGCCCCAUC
RNAcentral lists this transfer RNA (59 nucleotides) under Bacteroidota bacterium. RNAcentral's name for it is "Bacteroidetes bacterium (activated sludge metagenome) tRNA-His". It matches the Rfam family "tRNA", at positions 9 to 63 of the family's 71-position model. From Rfam's summary of the family: Transfer RNA (tRNA) molecules are approximately 80 nucleotides in length. Their secondary structure includes four short double-helical elements and three loops (D, anti-codon, and T loops). Further hydrogen bonds mediate the characteristic L-shaped molecular structure. tRNAs have two regions of fundamental functional importance: the anti-codon, which is responsible for specific mRNA codon recognition, and the 3' end, to which the tRNAs corresponding amino acid is attached (by aminoacyl-tRNA synthetases). tRNAs cope with the degeneracy of the genetic code in two manners: having more than one tRNA (with a specific anti-codon) for a particular amino acid; and 'wobble' base-pairing, i.e. permitting non-standard base-pairing at the 3rd anti-codon position. Lineage: Bacteria; Pseudomonadati; Bacteroidota. The record is from RNAcentral.